Molecule: ribosomal RNA, 800 nt
Filed under: Curvularia pallescens
Lineage: Eukaryota; Fungi; Ascomycota; Dothideomycetes; Pleosporales; Pleosporaceae
Description: LSU rRNA
Rfam family: Eukaryotic large subunit ribosomal RNA
Source: RNAcentral
UUUGCAGAGGGCGCUUUGGCUUUGGCAGCGGUCCAAGUUCCUUGGGACAGGACGUCACAGAGGGUGAGAAUCCCGUACGUGGUCGCUAGCUAUUGCCGUGUAAAGCCCCUUCGACGAGUCGAGUUGUUUGGGAAUGCAGCUCUAAAUGGGAGGUAAAUUUCUUCUAAAGCUAAAUAUUGGCCAGAGACCGAUAGCGCACAAGUAGAGUGAUCGAAAGAUGAAAAGCACUUUGGAAAGAGAGUCAAACAGCACGUGAAAUUGUUGAAAGGGAAGCGCUUGCAGCCAGACUUGCUUGCAGUUGCUCAUCCGGGCUUUUGCCCGGUGCACUCUUCUGCAGGCAGGCCAGCAUCAGUUUGGGCGGUGGGAUAAAGGUCUCUGACACGUUCCUUCCUUCGGGUUGGCCAUAUAGGGGAGACGUCAUACCACCAGCCUGGACUGAGGUCCGCGCAUCUGCUAGGAUGCUGGCGUAAUGGCUGUAAGCGGCCCGUCUUGAAACACGGACCAAGGAGUCUAACAUCUAUGCGAGUGUUUGGGUGUCAAGCCCGAGCGCGUAAUGAAAGUGAACGGAGGUGGGAACCCGCAAGGGUGCACCAUCGACCGAUCCUGAAGUUUACGGAAGGAUUUGAGUAAGAGCAUGGCUGUUGGGACCCGAAAGAUGGUGAACUAUGCUUGAAUAGGGUGAAGCCAGAGGAAACUCUGGUGGAGGCUCGCAGCGGUUCUGACGUGCAAAUCGAUCGUCAAAUUUGGGGCAUAGGGGCGAAAGACUAAUCGAACUAUCUAGUAGCUGGUUCCUGCCGAGC